GUGGGCCAGGGGUGGUGUUGGGACAGCUGCAUUUAAAAAGGCAUCUCCAAGAGCUUCCAUCGAAGACUGCCUCUUGGUGCAG
MicroRNA precursor from Chlorocebus sabaeus (green monkey), 82 nucleotides. It matches the Rfam family "mir-608 microRNA precursor family". Lineage: Eukaryota; Metazoa; Chordata; Mammalia; Primates; Cercopithecidae. The record is from Rfam.